Molecule: ribosomal RNA, 497 nt
Filed under: uncultured bacterium
Lineage: Bacteria
Description: partial 16S ribosomal RNA
Rfam family: Bacterial small subunit ribosomal RNA
Source: RNAcentral
GACGAACGCUGGCGGCGUGCCUAAUACAUGCAAGUUGAGCGCUGAAGGUUGGUACUUGUACCAACUGGAUGAGCAGCGAACGGGUGAGUAACGCGUGGGGAAUCUGCCUUUGAGCGGGGGACAACAUUUGGAAACGAAUGCUAAUACCGCAUAAAAACUUUAAACACAAGUUUUAAGUUUGAAAGAUGCAAUUGCAUCACUCAAAGAUGAUCCCGCGUUGUAUUAGCUAGUUGGUGAGGUAAAGGCUCACCAAGGCGAUGAUACAUAGCCGACCUGAGAGGGUGGUCGGCCACAUUGGGACUGAGACAAGACCCAAACUCCUGCGGGAGGCAGCAGUAGGGAAUCUUCGGCAAUGGACGGAAGUCUGACCGAGCAACGCCGCGUGAGUGAAGAAGGUUGUCGGAUCGUAAAACUCUGUUGGUAGGGAAGAACGUUGGUGAGGGUGGAAAGCUCAUCAAGUGACGGUAACUACACAGAAAGGGACGGCUAACUACGUG